RNAcentral lists this transfer RNA (72 nucleotides) under Ceratophrys stolzmanni (Stolzmann's horned frog). RNAcentral describes it as "tRNA-Ile". It matches the Rfam family "tRNA". From Rfam's summary of the family: Transfer RNA (tRNA) molecules are approximately 80 nucleotides in length. Their secondary structure includes four short double-helical elements and three loops (D, anti-codon, and T loops). Lineage: Eukaryota; Metazoa; Chordata; Amphibia; Anura; Ceratophryidae. The record is from RNAcentral.
GGAAAUGUGCCCGAAAGUUAAGGACCUCUUUGAUAAAGAGAACCACAGGGGUUCAAAUCCCCUCACUUCCAU